This 498-nucleotide ribosomal RNA is filed under the name uncultured bacterium. RNAcentral's name for it is "bacterial SSU rRNA". It matches the Rfam family "Bacterial small subunit ribosomal RNA", at positions 97 to 596 of the family's 1533-position model. The record is from RNAcentral.
GGCGAACGGGUGCGUAACACGUGAGCAACUGCCUUUGAGCGGGGGAUAGCCGGCCCAACGGCCGGGUAAUACCGCAUACGUUCUCCUGGUGGCAUCACCGGGGGAAGAAACGCUUGACGGCUCAAAGAGGGGCUCGCGGCCUAUCAGCUAGUUGGUGCGGUCACGGCGCACCAAGGCGACGACGGGUAGCUGGUCUGAGAGGAUGGCCAGCCACAUUGGGACUGAGAAACGGCCAAGACUCCUACGGGAGGCAGCAGUGGGGAAUCUUGCGCAAUGGCCGAGAGGCUGACGCAGCGACGCCGCGUGGGGGAUGAAGCAUUUCGGUGUGUAAACCCCUGUUGCUCGGGACGAACGAUCCUUUUCGAGGGAUGUGACGGUACCGAGUGAGGAAGCACCGGCUAACUCCGUGCCAGCAGCCGCGGUAAUACGGAGGGUGCGAGCGUUGUCCGGAAUCACUGGGCGUAAAGGGCGCGUAGGUGGUUGGAUGCGCCGGUGGUG